Molecule: ribosomal RNA, 305 nt
Filed under: uncultured bacterium
Lineage: Bacteria
Description: bacterial SSU rRNA
Rfam family: Bacterial small subunit ribosomal RNA
Source: RNAcentral
UGUCUCCUACGGGAGGCAGCAGUCGGGAAUAUUGCGCAAUGGAGGAAACUCUGACGCAGUGACGCCGCGUAUAGGAAGAAGGCUUUCGGAUUGUAAACUAUUGUCGUUAGGGAAGAUAAAAGACAGUACCUAAGGAGGAAGCUCCGGCUAACUACGUGCCAGCAGCCGCGGUAGUACGUAGGGAGCAAGCGUUAUCCGGAUUUAUUGGGUGUAAAGGGUGCGUAGACGGGAAAUUAAGUUAGUUGUGAAAUCCCUCGGCUCAACUGAUGAACUGCAACUAACACUGAUUUUCUUGAGUGCAGGAG